This 497-nucleotide ribosomal RNA is filed under the name uncultured bacterium. RNAcentral describes it as "partial 16S ribosomal RNA". It matches the Rfam family "Bacterial small subunit ribosomal RNA", at positions 28 to 507 of the family's 1533-position model. The record is from RNAcentral.
GAUGAACGCUGGCGGCGUGCCUAAUACAUGCAAGUCGAGCGAACGGACGAGAAGCUUGCUUCUCUGAUGUUAGCGGCGGACGGGUGAGUAACACGUGGAUAACCUACCUAUAAGACUGGGAUAACUUCGGGAAACCGGAGCUAAUACCGGAUAAUAUUUUGAACCGCAUGGUUCAAAAGUGAAAGACGGUCUUGCUUGCACUUAUAGAUUGUUCCGCGCUGCAUUAGCUAGUUGGUUAGGUAACGGCUUACCAGGGCAACGAUGCAUAGCCGACCUGAGAGGGUGAUCCGCCACACUGGAACGGAGACACGGUCCAGACUCCUACGGGAGGCCGCAGUAGGGAAUCUUCCGCAAUGGGCGAAAGCCUGACGGAGCAACGCCGCGUGAGUGAUGAAGGUCUUCGGAUCGUAAAACUCUGUUAUUAGGGAAGAACAUAUGUGUAAGUAACUGUGCACAUCUUGACGGUACCUAAUCAGAAAGCCACGGCUAACUACGUG